CCGAGGGCGCCCCUUCAGCCCUACGUUUACUUCAACCUGAUUUUUAGAUUGAAUUGAUGGUUAUUGUCGAUAGGGGGGGCGGUUGCGUUAAGUUACGUUACGUUAGUUAUGUGAGGGCUCCUGCACAUUGCCAGGGUGGGGUGAGCCGUGAGCGUGUCAGCUACGUGACAUUCGCAAAAAUGAAGCGGUCAAUACCAUCUGGAGCACAGGGACGAAAACGAAGAAAGGAAGAAGAGGAAAAGAAAGCCAAGUAUAGAGAUGCACUCAGGCAAUUUUUGCAGAGGCCGCUGUAGAAAGGACGCCUGAUUCGCCUCCCUCUGAACUUUCUGCAGGAGAAGGGACAUCCAGUAGUACUCAAGGGGCCAGUAACACACAGGCCAGGAACACACAGCCUGCCUCAGGUGAAGGUGAAGGGACAUCCAGGACCACAUCAAGCACUCUGGGCACCAGUGAAACUACACUGCCACCUGCAGACACCUCACCCUCCACAAUUCCUGCUAUCCAGGGAGAACCUAUAGGGAGAACCUAUAGAUCCUGCUGACUGGCCAGCUGUGAUCCGGUAAGGACAGAGUUAGUUUGCAGAGGACCAUACCAGACCAGUCCAGACUUUACAUUUCCAAAAAGAGAUGAAGGGAGAAGCUGCCACCACAACCACUUCUACAGGAAAUUAGUAAAUGGGGAGAAAAUCAAGAGAAGCUGGCUUGUAUAUUCAAGGAAAAACAAUACUCUGUAUUGCUUCUGCUGCAAGCUCUUUUCACAGAAAAUGACCACCUCAUUAGGAUUGGCCUAAAUGACUGGAAGAAUUGUAGUGAGGUAUUUGAGAUAUUUUGUA
Long non-coding RNA from Clupea harengus (Atlantic herring), 832 nucleotides. NCBI's taxonomy places the organism in Eukaryota, Metazoa, Chordata, Actinopteri, Clupeiformes, Clupeidae. The record is from Ensembl.